Long non-coding RNA from Eubalaena glacialis (North Atlantic right whale), 835 nucleotides. RefSeq lists it as uncharacterized. NCBI's taxonomy places the organism in Eukaryota, Metazoa, Chordata, Mammalia, Artiodactyla, Balaenidae. The transcript is spliced from 3 exons. The record is from RefSeq and is a predicted model, not a curated record.
ACCAAGCGCCCAACUCGACCAGCUUGUCAUUUUUGCCUUUUGUGAUGACUUGAGAAUCAUCUUCCAAACGGUGUCUAGAUUCCUGUUCCAGUUUCUCCACCUACCAUCUGUGUGACCCUAGAAUACCUACUCUGAAGGAAGCCAGCCACCAUGUUGUGAGGAUGCCCAAGCAGCCCUAUGAGGAGAUCCACAUGAAGAGUAACAGAGGCCCUCUGUCAAUAGCUGGUACCAACUUGCUAGCCACUUAAGUGUGCCAUCUGGAAAGUGGAUUUUCCAGCCCUAGUCAAACCUUCAGACGACUACAGCCCUGGCCUACACCUUGACUGCAACUUCAUGAGAGAAUCAAGCCUGAACUACCCAGCUAAGCUGCUUCUGAAUUCCUGAACUGCAGAUGUUAUGAGAUCUAUCAAAGAAGUAGAAAUGAAGAAUAAAUAAUUAACAGAUGACCAGAUCUCAUCCCUAGAUUCCCCUUCAGUAAUCUCAAGAACAAACUGUGUGAACAAGAUAGCAUCUAAAGAAAACUCACAAGAAGUGGACAAGCCUGCACACAGUGGGAGAUGGUGACGACUCUGACCCCCUAUCUCAAUGAUUAAUUGAGAUUACUUCCUUUUUUCCCCUGAAAAACUUUCAUGGCUGAGCAGAAUCUUCAGAGGUGGUUUUUGGGGGACACUGAGCCCACCAUCUCCCCAGAUUGCCAGUGUUCUGAUUAGAAGCAUCUUUCCUCUCUACCAACAUUUUCCUCUCGAGUAUUGAUUUUUGAGCGGCAAGCAGUCGGACCUGAUGUGGAAACAGAUUCAGGCUGAGGGGAAUCUGAUCUGGUGCUGAUCUGCAUGGA